RNAcentral lists this ribosomal RNA (492 nucleotides) under uncultured bacterium. Its description in RNAcentral is "partial 16S ribosomal RNA". It matches the Rfam family "Bacterial small subunit ribosomal RNA", at positions 29 to 507 of the family's 1533-position model. The record is from RNAcentral.
AGUGAACGCUGGCGGUAGGCCUAACACAUGCAAGUCGAACGGCAGCACAGUAAGAGCUUGCUCUUACGGGUGGCGAGUGGCGGACGGGUGAGGAAUACAUCGGAAUCUACUUUUUCGUGGGGGAUAACGUAGGGAAACUUACGCUAAUACCGCAUACGACCUACGGGUGAAAGCAGGGGAUCUUCGGACCUUGCGCGAUUGAAUGAGCCGAUGUCGAAUUAGCUAGUUGGCGGGGUAAAGGCCCACCAAGGCGACGAUCCGUAGCUGGUCUGAGAGGAUGAUCAGACACACUGGAACUGAGACACGGUCCAGACUCCUACGGGAGGCAGCAGUGGGGAAUAUUGGACAAUGGGCGCAAGCCUGAUCCAGCCAUACCGCGUGAGUGAAGAAGGCCUUCGGGUUGUAAAGCCCUUUUGUUGGGAAAGAAAAGCAGCAGGUUAAUACCCCGCUGUUCUGACGGUACCCAAAGAAUAAGCACCGGCUAACUUCGUG